AGUUUUGUCCUGCUGCCACCUCAAAGAGAGCUGUGAGGCCGGGCGUGGUGGCUCACGCCUGUAUUCCCAGCAAUCUGGGAGGUGGAGGCGGGUGGAUCACCUGAGGUCAGGAGUUCAAGACGAGCCUGGCCAACAUGGUGAGACUCCAUCUCUACAAAAAUAUAAAAAUUAGCCGGGCAUAAUGGUGGGUGCCUGUAAUCCCAGCUACUCAGGAGGCUGAGGCGGGAGAAUCGCUUGAACUAGGGAGGCGGGUGUUGAAAUGAGCCGAGAUGGUGCCAUCUCUAGCCAGGGAAAUAGAGCAAGACUCCAUCUCAAAAAAAAAAAAGAGAGAGAGAGCUGCGAGUAUUCCUCAAUGAUAGCUGGUAGGAAGUGGUACAGGGUCACAGAGAGAGUGGCCAGACCCCUGGAGACCAGGGCAGGGUCCUUAUGGUGCCCUGUCAGUGUUGCCCCGGUGACUUGGCAGAGCACUCACCUAAUCUGGGGCGCGCUGGACAUGUUGUUCCCUCUCACCUGCACCUCUUUCUGCUGCACACCCCGCCCCCACUGCUUUGCCUGGUCUACUCCUUGUCACUGUUUUCUUUUCUUUUUCUUUCUUUUUUUUUUUUUUUUUUUUUUUUUGAGACAGAGUCUCGCUCUGUUGCCCAGGCUGGAAUACAAUGGUGCGAUCUUGGCUCACUGCAACCUCCGCCUCAUGGGCUCAAGAGAUUCUCCUGCCUCAGCCUCCUGAAUAGCUGGGACUAUAGGCGCAUGCCACCAUGCCUGGAUAAUUUUUGUAUUUUUAGUAGAGACUGGGUUUAGCCAUGUUGGCCAGGCUGGUCUGGAACUCCUCACCUCAGGUGAUCCACCCACCUCAGCCUCCCAAAGUGCUGGGAUUACAGGCGUGAGCCACCGCGCCCGACCCUCCUUGUCACUCUUUAGACUUCAGCAUUGGUGUCAUUUCUGCAGGGAAGCUCUCCCUGACCCCUCCAGAGAAGAAUGGUCCCUUUCUAGAUACUCUUAGGGUACUAAGCUUGCAGCACUUAAAACGACAGCUCAUUGUUGGGCCAUUGCUAUUUAUGUCUAUCUCCCCUCAGGCAGUGAGGUCACAGUUGUAGAAUCUGUGUCCUGGUCUGCAUCCCAGUACCUGGAAAGUGUCAGGCACAUGCAUCAGGCACAUGUCAGUGUCUGGCAGACGGUGUAGCUCAGUGGAUAUGAGCAUGAGUCUCCCUCUGUCGCCCAGGCUGGAAUACAGUGGCACAGUCUUGGCUCACUGCAGCCUCCAUCUCCCAGAUUCAAGCG
RNAcentral lists this long non-coding RNA (1278 nucleotides) under Homo sapiens (human). RNAcentral describes it as "non-protein coding lnc-SLC25A25-4:2". The record is from RNAcentral. Lineage: Eukaryota; Metazoa; Chordata; Mammalia; Primates; Hominidae.